CCAUCCAUCAGCAUUUCGUGUAAGACAUGUCUUAAAGGGACAGUUCUCCCCGAAAAUUAUAAAUACAUUAUUUUUCCUCUUACUGGUGGUGCUGAGCAUCUACCUAGAGUUCCCUCGUUUGGGAGAUAGCAGCCUUCGAGAUGUCUGCUUUCUCUUAAUUAUAACAGAACUAGAGGCACUCGGUUCGUGGUGCUAAAAAAAAAAAUGUCGGCAAUGUUUCCAGAAAUCAUCGUUCAGGACAAUCCACAGAAUUUGUUUUGAGCAGUUUCAUGCAGGAUCUAACGUCCUUCUCCUUCUACCACAGGGAAUGUGCAGUUUGAUCAUGGACCAAAGGGCUUGAUAACUGCAACAAGGGCUUUAUCCAAAUGUCCAGACGUCACCUCUCUUGAAACCUCGCAGACUUUGCGGUCACAUUCGCAAAAAGUCGGCACGUACCCAGGGCUGUCCAAACCCACAAUUCAUUCAGGCCUCAAGGGGCCUAAAGCUGCUAAACUUUCUGCUGCCACAUCAUAACAAGAGAAAUAUGUAGAAGUACAGGUUACAGAGAUGAUAUGUGGAACAUUUUGGACCUUCACCUCUCCCCUUUUGAUAUCGUACCCCAUUGGAGAGGUAAGCAACAUUGCUGUCAGACAUUUCUCUGUUCUAGCCUUGCUCUUGAAUUUCAUUUAUAAGUUUGCUUGCUGUCUUAAACGUGACGUGUAAUAUGCUAACAUAAUGCCUGUGUAGGAGCUCAAGUUUGAUAUCAUUAUUCCCCCGGACGAUUUUGUUAUUCACCCUUUUGAUCAGAAUAAAUGCAGAUCUCCACAAAGA
Long non-coding RNA from Acanthopagrus latus (yellowfin seabream), 810 nucleotides. RefSeq lists it as uncharacterized. The transcript is spliced from 2 exons. The record is from RefSeq and is a predicted model, not a curated record. NCBI's taxonomy places the organism in Eukaryota, Metazoa, Chordata, Actinopteri, Spariformes, Sparidae.